UGACAACCUCCGAAAACUAGUAAACUUAGCAUUAUAAACAGCCUGUCAGAAUAGGUAAUGGCUGUGUGCGACGAGAAAAAUGACAUCAUUGCCACUUUGUACUGUAGUGAAGCAGCACGCUUCUGCCUGCAACGCAGAGCUGGCAUAGGCUAUAGCUGUAAUGUACGAGAGAAGAAUGACAAGUUAAAAUGCAAGUUCAACGAUGUUUCUCUUUUCUUUAUUCAUUCGUUUUCCAGCAAUAGUGUAAAAAAAAUGUUGGGGCACUGCUUUUUGGUGUCCCCAAAUCUUGGCACCCUAGGCUGCUGCCUAGUUUCCC
Long non-coding RNA from Gopherus evgoodei (Goodes thornscrub tortoise), 316 nucleotides. RefSeq lists it as uncharacterized. The transcript is spliced from 3 exons. The record is from RefSeq and is a predicted model, not a curated record. NCBI's taxonomy places the organism in Eukaryota, Metazoa, Chordata, Testudines, Testudinidae.